CCCUUAGAUGUCCGGGGCCGCACGCGCGCUACACUGAAGGAAUCAGCGUGGCUUUCUCCCUGACCCGAAAGGGUUGGGAAACCCGUUGAAUCUCCUUCGUGAUAGGGAUUGGGGCUUGAAAUUGUUCCCCAUGAACGAGGAAUUCCCAGUAAGCGCGAGUCAUAAGCUCGCGUUGAUUACGUCCCUGCCCUUUGUACACACCGCCCGUCGCUACUACCGAUUGAACGGUUUAGUGAGGGCCUCGGAUUGGUCUCGGCCCGCUCUUUACCGGGCGGCGCCGUUGGUCGAGAAGACGCUGGAACUUGAUCGUUUAGAGGAAGUAAAAGUCGUAACA
Molecule: ribosomal RNA, 334 nt
Filed under: uncultured eukaryote
Lineage: Eukaryota
Description: partial 18S ribosomal RNA
Rfam family: Eukaryotic small subunit ribosomal RNA
Source: RNAcentral